This 490-nucleotide ribosomal RNA is filed under the name uncultured bacterium. Its description in RNAcentral is "partial 16S ribosomal RNA". It matches the Rfam family "Bacterial small subunit ribosomal RNA", at positions 30 to 507 of the family's 1533-position model. The record is from RNAcentral.
AUUGAACGCUGGCGGCAGGCCUAACACAUGCAAGUCGAACGGUAACAGGAAGAAGCUUGCUUCUUUGCUGACGAGUGGCGGACGGGUGAGUAAUGUCUGGGAAACUGCCUGAUGGAGGGGGAUAACUUCUGGAAACGGUAGCUAAUACCGCAUAACGUCGCAAGACCAAAAAGGGGGACCUUCGGGCCUCUUGCCAUCGGAUGUGCCCAGAUGGGAUUAGCUAGUAGGUGGGGUAACGGCUCACCUAGGCGACGAUCCCUAGCUGGUCUGAGAGGAUGACCAGCCACACUGGAACUGAGACACGGUCCAGACUCCUACGGGAGGCAGCAGUGGGGAAUAUUGCACAAUGGGCGCAAGCCUGAUGCAGCCAUGCCGCGUGUAUGAAGAAGGCCUUCGGGUUGUAAAGUACUUUCAGCGGGGAGGAAGGGAGUAAAGUUAAUACCUUUGCUCAUUGACGUUACCCGCAGAAGAAGCACCGGCUAACUCCGUG